Molecule: ribosomal RNA, 547 nt
Filed under: uncultured Megasphaera sp.
Lineage: Bacteria; Bacillati; Bacillota; Negativicutes; Veillonellales; Veillonellaceae
Description: bacterial SSU rRNA
Rfam family: Bacterial small subunit ribosomal RNA
Source: RNAcentral
UGGGGAAUCUUCCGCAAUGGACGAAAGUCUGACGGAGCAACGCCGCGUGAACGAUGACGGCCUUCGGGUUGUAAAGUUCUGUUAUACGGGACGAAUGGCGUAGCGGUCAAUACCCGUUACGAGUGACGGUACCGUAAGAGAAAGCCACGGCUAACUACGUGCCAGCAGCCGCGGUAAUACGUAGGUGGGAAGCGUUGUCCGGAAUUAUUGGGCGUAAAGGGCUCGCAGGCGGCGUCGUAAGUCGGUCUUAAAAGUGCGGGGCUUAACCCCGUGAGGGGACCGAAACUGCGAUGCUAGAGUAUCGGAGAGGAAAGCGGAAUUCCUAGUGUAGCGGUGAAAUGCGUAGAUAUUAGGAGGAACACCAGUGGCGAAAGCGGCUUUCUGGACGACAACUGACGCUGAGGCGCGAAAGCCAGGGGAAGCAAACGGGAUUAGAUACCCCGGUAGUCCUGGCCGUAAACGAUGGAUACUAGGUGUAGGAGGUAUCGACCCCUUCUGUGCCGGAGUUAACGCAAUAAGUAUCCCGCCUGGGGAGUACGGCCGCAAG